UAAGUAAUUCGCCUUAUCGCAGAGACCUUGCGUCUCUGAGGAAAGUCCGGACACCAUAGUGCAAUCAUAGUGGCUAACAGCCAUCCAUCGCGAGGUGAGGAAAAGUGCAACAGAAAGUAUGUACAGGUCAUGCUGUAGUGAAACCAGGUAAACUCUAUGUGGUGCAAUGUCAUGUAAACUAGUGCUUGAGCGUACACGCGCGAUACUAGAGGGUAGGCAGCUAAAGUUUGCUGGUAACAGUAAACGUAGAUAAAUGAUAAGGAUGCUAACAUGAUUUAUCAUCGUUAGUAUACAGGAUCCGGCUUAUAGAUUUACUUAAACA
RNAcentral lists this RNase P RNA (322 nucleotides) under Psychroserpens burtonensis. RNAcentral describes it as "Bacterial RNase P class A". It matches the Rfam family "Bacterial RNase P class A". Rfam says of the family: Ribonuclease P (RNase P) is a ubiquitous endoribonuclease, found in archaea, bacteria and eukarya as well as chloroplasts and mitochondria. Its best characterised activity is the generation of mature 5'-ends of tRNAs by cleaving the 5'-leader elements of precursor-tRNAs. Lineage: Bacteria; Pseudomonadati; Bacteroidota; Flavobacteriia; Flavobacteriales; Flavobacteriaceae. The record is from Rfam by way of RNAcentral.